CUCGGGGAGAUGUAAUAGUGUUUGAUUUUAUGAAUGAAGCGAGUUUGCCUGUUGAAAGUGCGCUUGCGUUCAGCAAAAUAAUUGCAACAUUUUGCGCGAAUUGUGACCGAAUGUAAAAGUUUAACCAUGAAUUUUUUAAUAAAUAUAGCGAUAGAUAAUUUUGAAAGCAGUGAUAAUAACUUGCUGCUCAAGUACGGAAAAAAUAGAAAACAAAGUUUUUUAAGAAAGAGAAAGUGGUACCUCGCUGAAAUUUCAAAAAAGAGGAGAGUGACGAAGAUGUCAAAGGUUUGGAAAACAAUUCCAUUAUACCAUAAUGAUACAUAUUUCACGCAUUUUCUCAUGACUCGUGAAACAUUUGCAGUAAGUAUUGUUGUUUACUUUUUGGAAGUACCUGAUAAAUAAAUUAAUUUGUCUUAGGACAUGAAAAAUGCGUUAGAACCUUUUUGGUCAACAUCACGCGAGGAAUAUUCCUUGGAACAUUCCUUGCAUAUGACUCUUUGGAGGCUAAGCAAUAGUAGAGUCACAUAUCGCGAGCUUGCAGAUAGAUUUAUUGUUGGGCAAGGAACUGCCCACAAACUUUUCCUCAAAACAAUCAAGACAAUCUGCAAACUUAAAAACGAAAUAUGUUGGCCGUCAAUUUCACAGCAGAAAAAAAUAAUGGAAAACUUUCAAACAAGCCGGGUAAAUUCAUUUCCUUUUGUUGUCAGAUGCUUAGAUGGAACGCAUAUCAAAAUUAUGUAACACUCCUCAAACGGAUGCAAUUAGUUAUUAUGACCGUAAAGGAAAUUUUUCAGUUGUUAUGCAGGCCAUAUGCGACAGUAAGUUCUGUUUUUAGAUGUGUUCAUCGGAUACCCAGGUAGCUGUCAUGAUGCCAAUGUGUGGAAAAAUAGUCCAAUUUACAAAGGGAUCACAUCUGGAGAAAUAAAGCUUGCGAAAGAUGCAAUUAUUCUAGCCGAUUCAGCAUAUCCUGUUUCAAGAUACUUAACUGGUACUUAAUAGAGAUAACGGACACCUUUCCAGAGAGGAAAAACAAUUCAACUAUUAUAUGAGUUCAACCCGAGUAUUUAUUGAGCAAACAUUUGGAAUUUUCAGGGUUAAGUUCAAAAUAUUGAAUCAUAUUGAUAUGCGAAAUAUAGAAGACAUAUCAACUGUGAUAUUAUCUUGCGCAAUUUUACAUAAUUUUAUACUGCGAAGCAGU
This is a long non-coding RNA of Bactrocera tryoni, 1198 nucleotides long. RefSeq lists it as uncharacterized. Lineage: Eukaryota; Metazoa; Arthropoda; Insecta; Diptera; Tephritidae. The transcript has 2 exons. The record is from RefSeq and is a predicted model, not a curated record.